RNAcentral lists this ribosomal RNA (2014 nucleotides) under human gut metagenome. RNAcentral describes it as "bacterial LSU rRNA". It matches the Rfam family "Bacterial large subunit ribosomal RNA", at positions 831 to 2829 of the family's 2925-position model. The record is from RNAcentral.
AAUCGAACUCGGAGAUAGCUGGUUCUCCCCGAAAUAGCUUUAGGGCUAGCCUCAGGGAAGAUUAUAGACGGUAGAGCACUGAUCUGGCAAGGGGGCGUAAAGCCUACCGACCCUAGUCAAACUUCGAAUGGCUAUAAUUAAGACCCUGGGAGUCAGACUGCGAGUGAUAAGACCCGUAGUCAAGAGGGAAACAGCCCAGACCGCCGACUAAGGUCCCCAAUGCUGUACUAAGUGGAAAAGGAUGUAAGACUUCAUAAACAACCAGGAUGUUGGCUUAGAAGCAGCCACCAUUAAAAGAGUGCGUAAUAGCUCACUGGUCGAGAGGCCUUGCGCCGAAGAUGUCCGGGGCUCAAGUACAGAACCGAAGUCGCGGCAGGAUUUAUAAUUCUGGGUAGGGGAGCGUUGUAUAUCCGACUGAAGGUGUACCGGAAGGAGCGCUGGAGGAUAUACAAGAGAGAAUGCCGGUAUGAGUAGCGAAAAGAACAGUGAGAAUCUGUUCCACCGAAAGCCUAAGGUUUCCUGAGCAACGCUCGUCGACUCAGGGUAAGUCGGGACCUAAGCCGAGGCAAAAAGCAUAGGCGAUGGACAACAGGUUAAUAUUCCUGUACCGCUUCAAAUCGUUUGAGCAAUGGAGUGACACAGAAGGUAGCUUGAGCACGCGAAUGGAUGUGCGUGUCGAAGGUGGUAGAUUGCAGUAUAGGCAAAUCCGUACUGUAUAAGAUCGAGAACUGAUAGAUAGACAAUACUUCGGUAAAGUCAAAUUCAAGUGAGCCAUGCUGUCGAGAAAAGCUUCUAGUGAGAGAUGAGGCGCCCGUACCGAAACCGACACAGGUAGGCGGGGAGAGAAUCCUAAGGUGCGCGGGACAACCCUCGUUAAGGAACUCGGCAAAUUGUAUCCGUAACUUAGGGAUAAGGAUAGCCGGAGGAUGUGAAGGGAUUUACUUCUGGAGCGUCAGCCGGUGGCACAAGAGAGGCCCAAGCGACUGUUUAGCACAAACACAGGUGCCUGCAAAAGAGAAAUCUGACGUAUAGGUGCUGACACCUGCCCGGUGCUGGAAGGUUAAGAGGAGGGCUUAGAGGCAACUCGAAGGCUUGAAUUGAAGCCCCAGUAAACGGCGGCCGUAACUAUAACGGUCCUAAGGUAGCGAAAUUCCUUGUCGGGUAAGUUCCGACCCGCACGAAAGGUGUAACGAUUUGGGCACUGUCUCAACGAGGGACCCGGUGAAAUUGAAGUACCUGUGAAGAUGCAGGUUACCCGCGACUGGACAGAAAGACCCCAUGGAGCUUUACUGCAACCUGACAUUGAUGUUCGGUAAAUAACGUACAGGAUAGGUGGGAGACGGAGAAGUAUUGGCGUUAGCUGAUAUGGAGUCAACCUUGGGAUACCACCCUUUAUUUAUUGGACCUCUAACUGAAGAAGUAACGACUCUCAGGACAGUAUCAGGCGGGCAGUUUGACUGGGGCGGUCGCCUCCCAAAAUGUAACGGAGGCGCCCAAAGGUUCCCUCAGCGCGAACGGAAACCGCGCAAAGAGUGUAAAGGCAGAAGGGAGCUUGACUGCGAGUCAGACACGACGAGCAGGUACGAAAGUAGGGCUUAGUGAUCCGGUGGUUCCGAGUGGAAGGGCCAUCGCUCAACGGAUAAAAGCUACCCUGGGGAUAACAGGCUAAUCUCUCCCAAGAGUUCAUAUCGACGGGGAGGUUUGGCACCUCGAUGUCGGCUCAUCACAUCCUGGGGCUGGAGUAGGUCCCAAGGGUUGGGCUGUUCGCCCAUUAAAGUGGUACGCGAGCUGGGUUCAGAACGUCGUGAGACAGUUCGGUCCAUAUCCAUCGCGGGCGUAAGAGACUUGAAGGGGGCUGCUCCUAGUACGAGAGGACCGGAGUGGACGGACCAAUGGUGUACCAAUUAUCCCGCCAGGGGUACAGUUGGGUAGCUACGUCCGGAAAAGAUAAACGCUGAAAGCAUCUAAGCGUGAAACUUGCCUUAAGAUGAGGUCUCCCGAAGCGAAAGCUUGA